This 37-nucleotide ribosomal RNA is filed under the name Tribulus subramanyamii. RNAcentral's name for it is "partial 28S ribosomal RNA". The record is from RNAcentral. Lineage: Eukaryota; Viridiplantae; Streptophyta; Magnoliopsida; Zygophyllales; Zygophyllaceae.
GACCCCAGGUCAGGCGGGAUCACCCGCUGAGCUAUGC